ACGAGGGAGCUUUUGGCCUUCGUUGCUGCGCUGACCGAGCGACCGGCGAGUGAUUUCGAUGAUGAAUUCCGACUCUGGAUACUGGCUGAAGAUCGUGAGAUUCCUUCAACUUUGGCCAAUACCUGCGUUCAUGUCGUUCUCGAAUCCCCGGAGGGUGUAAAGCGCAACGCAUGCAGCACGCUGAGCGCGUGGACAGGCACGCGCGAACCAGUGCCCGUAGCGCGUUUUCUUGUCGGCCUCGCGCUAUUUCAUGCCCUUGCACAGGAGCGCCGCGCAUAUAUCCCACAAGGCUGGAGCCGCUGGUACGAGUGGGAGUGGGGC
This 321-nucleotide unclassified non-coding RNA is filed under the name Melitaea cinxia (Glanville fritillary). RNAcentral describes it as "misc RNA ENSMCXG00005005178.1". Lineage: Eukaryota; Metazoa; Arthropoda; Insecta; Lepidoptera; Nymphalidae. The record is from RNAcentral.